GGCCUCCAUCUUGAAAACGGAAAAUAAAAACAGCAGACCUAUGAAGGUCGAAGGGGAAGAAAAGCUGUAUCGAUUGUUGAGAUCUGGCGACUUGUUUAAAUUUCAUCAGCCUCACUUCUAUGAACUCUCAGGCCUCAUGUGUACCAGCUCUCUGCUCUCCUUUGCCUUGGGACGUUCCAUCCCUGGAAGUUUCCCUGCCCACAUCUUUGUAGAGAGUCCAUUCUCCAAGCUUCAGUGUGUCAUCUGUGAGGACUGUGACCAACCUGGUACAUCGCCUCAGGGCAUUCAUUUCAGGCUCCUUCUAAAUGGUCAAGACAAAACACCAACAUUUUUGUAAUGGCCUGCAAGGCCUUCCGAGAUCUGCCUCCUGCAACUCAGCUUCUCCUGUGCUCUCCUUCUGGACUCACUCUGCCUCAGCAACACUGGUCCCUGUUGCCCCACCAAUAUACCAGGUAAACCUCAGGUUCUCCUCCUGCCUUUUGCUAAGUAUAUGUCUUGAUGACAAGCCUUCUGCUGAUGAGCUGUGUUUCUGGACCGAUCAUGGUAGAAGUCAAUUAACGUGUCCCUCACUUGGGGUUUCUCAAGGCUGCACUGAUGAGGAAACUGAAACAGAAAAUCCAGAGUAAAUUCCACCAGGCCACACAGCAAGGUCUGAUAGAGCCAGGAGAGACUUUAUGAAAUCCAGACUCUCACACUAAUGCUCUAUCAGCUAGACCUCCAUGUGAGUCUCCCCAAUGUAGGUAGGAAGUGCUUUCCC
RNAcentral lists this long non-coding RNA (757 nucleotides) under Pan troglodytes (chimpanzee). Its description in RNAcentral is "lincRNA". Lineage: Eukaryota; Metazoa; Chordata; Mammalia; Primates; Hominidae. The record is from RNAcentral.